This is a non-coding RNA of Salmonella enterica subsp. enterica serovar Newport, 135 nucleotides long. The record is from Rfam. NCBI's taxonomy places the organism in Bacteria, Pseudomonadati, Pseudomonadota, Gammaproteobacteria, Enterobacterales, Enterobacteriaceae.
UAUAUCGAAAAAGUAGAAAAAUAGUGUUAAAAACUGACCUUCAUUCGAAAUCAGUAUUACCCCUAAUAGGGUAGGGAUUAUUGUCCGGUAUCAAACUGGCAUAAAAAAAGCGCCCGAAGGCGCUUUUUAGAAGAG